UUUCCCUCAGGAUAGCUGGCACUCGCUUGAGCGAGUCUCAUCUGGUAAAGCGAAUGAUUAGAGGCCUUGGGGCCGAAACGACCUCAACCUAUUCUCAAACUUUAAAUGGGUGAGAUCUCUGGCUUGCUUGAACGUUGAAGCCACGAGAUUAUUAUUUAUGAUAAUUUGGAUCAGAGUGCCAAGUGGGCCAAUUUUGGUAAGCAGAACUGGCGCUGUGGGA
RNAcentral lists this ribosomal RNA (220 nucleotides) under Arachnophaga eucnemia. Its description in RNAcentral is "partial 28S ribosomal RNA". It matches the Rfam family "Eukaryotic large subunit ribosomal RNA", at positions 967 to 1163 of the family's 3401-position model. Lineage: Eukaryota; Metazoa; Arthropoda; Insecta; Hymenoptera; Eupelmidae. The record is from RNAcentral.